CCAAUGUGCUGUCCUCUCGGAGGACUGUACACGGGUACAGGAAAUUCGAACUUGCGACUUCCUGAACCGGAGUCAGCGGCUUUACGCGCUAUGCCACUCAAACUCCACGGGGACGCAGCUCUGCCGCGAUGCCUCCUUGGGGAUCUGUGGACGCACUGGCACAGAAAUCGACUGCAUAGAUCACCUCCUCGCUCCGCCUUCGCUGCGCCGGUGUCGCACCCUGUGGCACCUGCAGUGGGCGCCACCGCCCGCGAAGAAGUUGUACCUGGACUGCGCAUUGCUCAUUGUGUUGUGCUAAGACCGCGUGGCCUAACGGAUAAGGCGUCUGACUUCGGAUCAGAAGAUUGAGGGUUCGAGUCCCUUCGUGGUCGGUGCUGUUUUGGUCGAUUGAUCCUUGGCCAGCGGCAUGACAAUACUGAGUCCCCUCUCCUAGUUCCUCUGCCCGCUGACAUCUAUCUUCUAAGAAGCUUGGAGGUUCGCGCCGCUAGACCACCCUAGGUCUGAGCCGGCCCUUCCCAAUCGUCUCGUCUUGCUCUUUAGCUUUUCGCGUAGCACGGCUGUGUACCCUCUGGUUCUCUGGCUGUCCCGCCGCGGCGACCUGUACUACGUUCUGGCCUAGGAGUACGCAGUCCUGCCGCAAGCGUGACGGAGAAUUGUGACAUUUGUGCACGUGGCAUUACCAUGGACCACGUGGGCGCUGUGUUUUGUCGUGCCCCAGUGGCCUAAUGGAUAAGGCACUGGCCUCCUAAGCCAGGGAUUGUGGGUUCGAGUCCCACCUGGGGUGAUGUACGUGGCCUUUCCCUAAAGGUAAUUUUGGUUCUGCGAAUGGGCAACCAGGGGCUCCAGUCCACGUGAUUUGGACCAUGGGCACUCCUCCGCCUCCGGAGCCUGCCUGCCUUCUUGACAGUCCCCGGUCGUUUGCAGUACUGCUGUCUAGCCUCGGCCUGCGAAUUGUAGAAAAGUUGACAGAGACUCUGCUCGUCCUCCUGCACCCUGCACCUCCCAGAGGCAACCUCACUCCCAGCUGCAGGGCUCCGGCCCCUCUCCUGGGCAUCGGCACCUGGGCAUUCCUUCUCGGGCCCCACAUAGCCAGCUUCUCCCAGGUGACACCAUCCUCCUCAUCCGACUGCCCUCCCAGCCUGCUCCCUCGGUCAUGUUACCAUACAGGAAUCCAUUUUUUUCUGUUCAACUGAUCGGAUGUCAAAUCUCUGCAAGAAUGGACUUGGUUCAUUGCUGAUUCCCCCGGGAACUCACCCGGGGCCUCGUGGACCAAUGAAUGUCGCGCUUCCUUGGUCCCCAGGGGGCUGGCUCUCUUCAGGACCAGGACCACGUCUUUCACAUCUUCUAGGUUUCCUAAGCCAUUUAUCGAAGACUUUCCCCCUUUGUUUACACGCACGCGAAUGAGGUCCCUGCUCCCAGAUCGUGUAGGCGCUACUGCUGUCUAUUACACUGCAUUUAAAGCACUGCAAUGCAUUGUUUGUCAAAUGAGUGAAGUAGGUCAAGAUAAUAGAGAAUGUUCUACGGAAUUCGUACAUUCUAGAGUAACCUACUCUUACGCUGGCCUGGGUGCUCCCCCGCCCACGGGAUUGCAAAACCCUUUUUCUAGUUCCAACCCACUCUUUCCCUGCCCCCACAACCCCAGGGCCUACAACGGCACCUAACACUUGACAUUCCUUCCCACUCAGGUGGUCCCCUGCUCCGUGUCUCUUAAAACCUAACCCGCCUGACCUGAAUGUGAGGAUCUCCACACUGAGCGUCUGUCUCCCUCCAGACUUAGCUCCCAUGAGCCCCUGCCUAAAGCCACCAUUCGGACGGCUUCCUCAUGGUCUCGCCGCCCCCAGCCUUCUCUUUGGCCCCCUUUAUCCAUACUGUUCCCUUCAGCUGGCACGUGCUCCGCCCCUUUGUCCUGACGGAAGGGCUGCACCUUCGUCAAAGCCCCCCUCUGACGCCCACUCGCCCGCCUCAGCUUCUAACCGCACGUGUGCUCCUUGAAGGCAGACACCGCGCUCGCUCCUGUCCCGCCGGCUGCGACACCUA
This is a long non-coding RNA of Phyllostomus hastatus (greater spear-nosed bat), 2037 nucleotides long. RefSeq lists it as uncharacterized. Lineage: Eukaryota; Metazoa; Chordata; Mammalia; Chiroptera; Phyllostomidae. The transcript is spliced from 3 exons. The record is from RefSeq and is a predicted model, not a curated record.